UGGGGAAUAUUGCACAAUGGGGGAAACCCUGAUGCAGCGACGCCGCGUGAACGAAGAAGGUAUUCGUAUCGUAAAGUUCUGUCCUAUGGGAAGAUAAUGACAGUACCAUAGAAGAAAGCUCCGGCUAAAUACGUGCCAGCAGCCGCGGUAAUACGUAUGGAGCGAGCGUUGUCCGGAAUUAUUGGACGUAAAGGGUACGCAGGCGGUUUAAUAAGUCGAAUGUUAAAGAUCGGGGCUCAACCCCGCAAAGCAUUGGAAACUGAUAAACUUGAGUAGUGGAGAGGAAAGUGGAAUUCCUAGUGUAGUGGUGAAAUACGUAGAUAUUAGGAGGAAUACCAGUAGCGAAGGCGACUUUCUGGACACAAACUGACGCUGAGGUACGAAAGCGUGGGGAGCAAACAGG
This 403-nucleotide ribosomal RNA is filed under the name bacterium. Its description in RNAcentral is "partial 16S ribosomal RNA". It matches the Rfam family "Bacterial small subunit ribosomal RNA", at positions 355 to 776 of the family's 1533-position model. The record is from RNAcentral.